CACUUUGAAAACUGUUGAAUCGCAAUUUAUUACUUGGGCACAAUAUUUUUAUUUUAUUCACUUCAUUUUCCCCACAUAAUAACCAGGAAAAUGCUCCCUCAGCAAAAUUUGAUACUAUUGUACUAUUUGUUUAGUGCAUUUUUUCAACCUUUAAAAUGAAAAAGGUGCAAAUCAAACGCGAAAGACUUAAAUGGUAAAGUAUAAAUUGUGUAUAUGCCUCUACUUCAUGUGAAGGAUGAAGACGAAUACUUCAGUAUCAGACGAUGCAUCCCCACGCAACGAAACCCCCCGAAAAAUUUCGGAAUAUCUUCAAGUCCAGCCGCAGAUGAAGAUAUUUUGUCUCGACAAAAAAUUAAAGUUGGUAAGAAGAUAAACAAAACGUUAAUAUUUAAAAAAAACGACAUAACCAGACAAACUCACCUGGAAAUUGCAAACCAGAAGGAUUUCACUCACCUAAAGAGGUAAAGAGGAAACAGGAAGCACAAGUGCAAACAGCUCCAGACGGACAUGCAGAGACCUCGCGAAGAGUUUUAUGUUUCUUAUGGACAAGGAACCUUAUCGAAAGAAUUUCGUACCAAAAAAAGUUCUUUGUGUGGACGGCGAUCCGCAAUUGUGAAGAGAAUAGCUAAUGAAUGUUUCCAAAAUAAAUGGUUGGCUUUUCUGAGACAACAAUACGAUUUACUUUCUUUUGGUCACGUUUAACCUCGGGUUUAGCCUUUUAGCAUUCAGCCACUAAUCACCCAAUUGCUUAUAACUCUGACCUAUAUCAAACGCCAGUCAAAAGGGCCUUGGAGUUAUCAAACCAAGGAGCAAAAACAAUUGAAAAUGUCAGAAAAAAAAACACGAAGAAAAUAGCGUAUAUGCCACAGAACUAAAGUGCGUCAUAAUCAGUCGGGUGCUUGCCCUCAACUACGUUUAGGGCAACAAUCAGUACCCUCA
Molecule: long non-coding RNA, 939 nt
Organism: Photinus pyralis (common eastern firefly)
Lineage: Eukaryota; Metazoa; Arthropoda; Insecta; Coleoptera; Lampyridae
Exons: 4
Source: RefSeq, a predicted model, not a curated record